GCACCCGUGGCACAAUUGGAUAGCGCGUCGGCCUCCGAAGCCGAAGGUUGUGGGUUCGAACCCCGCCGGGUGUACUA
This 77-nucleotide transfer RNA is filed under the name Rhodopirellula bahusiensis. RNAcentral describes it as "tRNA-Arg". It matches the Rfam family "tRNA". From Rfam's summary of the family: Transfer RNA (tRNA) molecules are approximately 80 nucleotides in length. Their secondary structure includes four short double-helical elements and three loops (D, anti-codon, and T loops). Lineage: Bacteria; Pseudomonadati; Planctomycetota; Planctomycetia; Pirellulales; Pirellulaceae. The record is from RNAcentral.